GAUGAACGCUGGCGGUAUGCCUAACACAUGCAAGUCGUACGAGAGUUUUUAACUCUAGUGGCGGACGGGUGAGUAACACGUGAGAAUUUGCCUUUAGGAGGGGGACAACAAUCGGAAACGAAUGCUAAUACCCCAUAUGCUUUCGAGUGAAAUGGAUUUUAUCCGCCUAGAGAGAAGCUCGCGGCUGAUUAGCUUGUUGGUAAGGUAAGAGCUUACCAAGGCGACGAUCAGUAUCUGGUUUGAGAGGACGAUCAGACACACUGGAACUGAGACACGGUCCAGACUCCUACGGGAGGCAGCAGUGGGGAAUUUUCCGCAAUGGGCGAAAGCCUGACGGAGCAAUACCGCGUGAGGGAAGAAUGCCUAUGGGUUGUAAACCUCUUUUUCAGGGAGGAAUAAAAUGACGUGUACCUGAAGAAUAAGCAUCGGCUAACUCCGUG
Molecule: ribosomal RNA, 440 nt
Filed under: uncultured bacterium
Lineage: Bacteria
Description: bacterial SSU rRNA
Rfam family: Bacterial small subunit ribosomal RNA
Source: RNAcentral